UACGUAGGGUGCGAGCGUUAAUCGGAAUUACUGGGCGUAAAGCGUGCGCAGGCGGUGAUGUAAGACCGAUGUGAAAUCCCCGGGCUCAACCCGGGAACUGCGUCCGAUACUGGAAGGCUUGAAUCCGGGAGAGGGAUGCGGAAUUCCAGGUGUAGCGGUGAAAUGCGUAGAUAUCUGGAGGAACACCGGUGGCGAAGGCGGCAUCCUGGACCGGCAUUGACGCUGAGGCGCGAAAGCCAGGGGAGCAAACGGG
RNAcentral lists this ribosomal RNA (253 nucleotides) under uncultured bacterium. Its description in RNAcentral is "partial 16S ribosomal RNA". It matches the Rfam family "Bacterial small subunit ribosomal RNA", at positions 524 to 776 of the family's 1533-position model. The record is from RNAcentral.